AUUGUGUCCAUCUACAACUAAAAUAAAAUUUUUUUAAAUAAAAUUCCAUCUUCCAAUAUACAAUGGCACAGACUAAACAUUCCCAUUCUAAAAGUGAGGAAUAGGGGUAUGAAAAGAAGGGAUUUUUUCCAACACAAAUGUAAUCCAGCAAAUCCGUAGAUCCAUGUUUAGAUCCAUGACACAAGAUGGCAGGCAUGAGGUGGCUCCAAAGGACUAUAGCAGCCCACCCCUAUGGCCAUGUUGGCUAUCCCACAUGACUUCUCUCUUGGGCUAGCUCCACUUUCUGCCUGUAACUUUCCUCUGCAGGCAUUCCAUAUUCCUGGCAUCCCUAACUUCUUGGAGUCUUCAUUGCAUCAUUGUCAGCACUUUCAAAGCUUCACACAUUGCUCUCUCAAGGGCUGCAGGGAUUUCUGACCCUGAAACACAUUGCUUGGCCUCUCAGACCCUCCUUUGAAAUCUUGGUGGAAGACACCAUGACUCCCAAAUCUCAAUAAUUUGCAUUCCUACAAAACCAGCACCGGAAUAAAAUAGACAUUAUUAUUGCUGUGGGUAUAUACGUGACUGCAUGACCAAUGUAAUUCUGCAGACUGUACACUCAGAAAAAUGAGAAAUUAUAUCCCAUCUGAUUCAAAUGUAUGAUAUAUCAAGAUCAUUGUACUGUCAUGUGUAACUAAUUAAAAAUUUUAAAAAAGAAAUACAAAAACCCAGCACCAUGUGAACAAUGCCAAGGUAUCCCACCAACUCAUGAAGUAGCCAGGCCCCAUCAGAUGAUGGCUGCAGCAGCCUCUGAAUACCUGCAGGGCUUAGCAUUGUGAAACAAAUUCUGCAGAAGCAGCUUUCUAGUCUGUCCUGUGUGAGCAGGGCUUCCUAGUGCUCUCUUCUCAAAGGGAUGUCUUUAAAGUGAACUUUCACUUUUACUUCUUUAAGAUUGUGAUGGGUGGAGUCUUGCUGAUUCCUGAGAUGCCCUCAAGGCAUUUCUUCUUUGCAGUCUCUUUGCAGAGUACUUGGUUUCUCUUUAAUGGUGCUAAUCUUCUCAGGGCCACAUCUUUAUUGGCCUGUUUCACAUUUGCUUUUUUUUUUUUUUUGUCCAAACUGUUAAGUUUUUCAGUUUUUUUCUGCUCUGCUUUUUGCUUGUGGUUAUCAUAGAAAUCCUGACUAAAAGCUGCCAGCAAUAAUCAUGCCACUGCCCAAAUGCUGUGGUGCCUUGAAAUUUUCUCCACUAGAAUAAUUAUUCUGUCACCUUUCAAUUCAGUCUCACACAAAGUCUCAGGGCAUGGAUAAAAUGUAAAAAAGUUCUUUGCCAGAAAGUGGCAUAUAUGGCCUCUAUAGCAAUUCCCAAUAGAAUGCUCAUUCCCAUCUAAAACCUUAUAAGCAUGGUCUUUACUGUCUUUAUUCCUUUUGGCACUAUGGUCUUCUGAAAUUACAUCAGAAUUGUCCAGUAAGCUCUGUUUACAACAUGUUAAGUCUUCCCUAUCCUGCACCUCAAAUCUUUUCCAAACUCCUCCCACACACUAGUUCCAUAUGCUUCUGAACCACAUUGUCAGGUAUAAUCACAGCAACAACCCCAUUUCCUGGUACUAAUUUCCUGUGUUAGUUAGCUCUUUGCCACUGUGGCAAAAAUAUUUGACACAGCUUCAAGGAAGAAAGGUUUAUUUUGACUUACAGUUACAGAGGCAGAAUAUUUGGUUUCCCAAAUGGUACUAUUGAAAAACCAGCCUCUACCUCAGAGCAAAGCCUGUCCAAGGAAGGGACAUGACCUUUGUCCUUGGAAAGACCCACAGAGCACUCCUAGGCACAUUCCCACCCUGUUAAGUUGUUUAUCUAUGAAUAACAGGAGAGAUCUGCAGCGCCAGGUGUCCCUGACUCAGGCUAGGUGGAGACCCAUAGUAACCCCCUAGCAGCCACCAAUCAGCAUGAGACAGGGAAAUACCUGGGAUGCCAAAUGACCCUCCCAGUAGUUUAUGGUGGUUGAUAACGUGUUGGGAAACCAUGUAAUUCAGCAUGAACACCCCUGUUGGCUUAACCAAUCAGUUCAAAUGAAUCCCCCUUUUGUAGUAACCAAUCACCCCUACCCAACAUGUUCCCGCCAGUGAAUGUGCUAAUCAUGUUUUAGAGUUGUUAUUUGAUUUUCCCACGGUGGGUGAUGAUUUGCUAAGAGAUGCUAUGAUGUAUGUGGGGUUCCCUGCCUUCUCCAAAGAAUGUAUAAAACUGCUGCAAACCCUGGGCUCGGGGCCUCUCAGCGUCACCAGUUGCUGUGUGUGCACGCGGAGGACCAAGCUAGCUCUCAAUAAACACCUCUUUGCUGUUUAC
Molecule: long non-coding RNA, 2310 nt
Filed under: Marmota monax (woodchuck)
Lineage: Eukaryota; Metazoa; Chordata; Mammalia; Rodentia; Sciuridae
Source: RNAcentral